RNAcentral lists this ribosomal RNA (600 nucleotides) under uncultured bacterium. Its description in RNAcentral is "bacterial SSU rRNA". It matches the Rfam family "Bacterial small subunit ribosomal RNA", at positions 202 to 803 of the family's 1533-position model. The record is from RNAcentral.
UAAAGAAUUUCGGUCAUCGAUGGGGAUGCGUUCCAUUAGCUUGUUGGCGGGGUAACGGCCCACCAAGGCAUCGAUGGAUAGGGGUUCUGAGAGGAAGGUCCCCCACAUUGGAACUGAGACACGGUCCAAACUCCUACGGGAGGCAGCAGUGAGGAAUAUUGGUCAAUGGGCGCUAGCCUGAACCAGCCAAGUAGCGUGAAGGAUGACUGCCCUAUGGGUUGUAAACUUCUUUUAUAUGGGAAUAAAGUGCAGUAUGUAUACUGCUUUGCAUGUACCUUAUGAAUAAGGAUCGGCUAACUCCGUGCCAGCAGCCGCGGUAAUACGGAGGAUCCGAGCGUUAUCCGGAUUUAUUGGGUUUAAAGGGAGCGUAGGCGGGUUGUUAAGUCAGUUGUGAAAGUUUGCGGCUCAACCGUAAAAUUGCAGUUGAUACUGGCAUCCUUGAGUACAGUAGAGGUAGGCGGAAUUCGUGGUGUAGCGGUGAAAUGCUUAGAUAUCACGAAGAACUCCGAUUGCGAAGGCAGCCUGCUGGACUGUAACUGACGCUGAUGCUCGAAAGUGUGGGUAUCAAACAGGAUUAGAUACCCUGGUAGUCCACACAGU